This 230-nucleotide ribosomal RNA is filed under the name uncultured bacterium. RNAcentral describes it as "partial 16S ribosomal RNA". It matches the Rfam family "Bacterial small subunit ribosomal RNA", at positions 562 to 791 of the family's 1533-position model. The record is from RNAcentral.
AAAGGGCGCGUAGGCGGUUCAUUGGGUCAGAUGUGAAAUUCCUGGGCUUAACCUGGGGGCUGCAUUUGAAACUAAUGGGCUUGAGUUCGGAAGAGGGUCGUGGAAUUCCCAGUGUAGAGGUGAAAUUCGUAGAUAUUGGGAAGAACACCGGUGGCGAAGGCGGCGACCUGGUCCGAUACUGACGCUGAGGCGCGAAAGCGUGGGGAGCAAACAGGAUUAGAUACCCCGGU